Long non-coding RNA from Hemiscyllium ocellatum (epaulette shark), 1481 nucleotides. RefSeq lists it as uncharacterized. The transcript has 5 exons. Lineage: Eukaryota; Metazoa; Chordata; Chondrichthyes; Orectolobiformes; Hemiscylliidae. The record is from RefSeq and is a predicted model, not a curated record.
GUAAUGAAUGCUCGGGAAGUUAUGGAGAGAAAGGAUACGGUAAAAAAGAAAUAAACAGGGAAACGGGAGAAACACUGUGUUGCUAUGAGCGGAGAGGUUUUACAAACAAAUUGGGCUCGUCGGAAAACACAAGUUUGAACGUCCCAGUCCCAUUUUUGCAAUAAAUGCGGAAUUGCCUCAGCGGCUGCAGGCCUGAGUGAGCGCCGCCAUCUUUAUUCGGGACAACGAUUCACUGGACACGUGCGGAGCCGCCAUCUUUGUAGGGGGCACGGUGCAGCCAGGCGCAUGUGCAGCCUCUCUCUGGUACAGAGUCAUUGUGACGACAGCAGCCAAUCCUGCUCUGAUUCACCUCUGGGCUCCCUCAGGACCACUUUGUCAAUGUCUAGCUUCAUCAGUCUCCAACCAUGGGGAUCCCAGUGAUUAAUGCCAAAGCCCUGUUGCCUGUGGAGAGAGUGAUGCUUGACUUUAUUGUACAGCUGCAGUUUGUGUGGUGAAGGUGCUCCCACAAUGUGGUUGGAUUCCACCAUCUGACAAGCUGGGAUUCAAAUAGUGACUUCAGUUGUACAUUUUAAUAUUCUGGAUAAAAGUUAAAUACAUUAGGAUGCUACAGGUGGACAUUCAGAUGGUAAUCUCAGUCAUUAUAACACCAAACUCUGAUUGAAUUAGUCAGUUCAUCAGGACUUGGAUAUUCGCAUUGUGUGGUGCUAGAUGGUGAAGGUUUGCAGACUGAAAUCUCAAAAUCAUGUGCAGAUUGUGAUUAUGUUAACCAGCAUUUGAAGAACCAAAGAUAGAGAAUCACUCGGCCAAAAUCCUGCAACACUCCCUCACAGCAUUGUUGGUCUAUCUCCACCAAAUGGACUGUGAAUGGUUCAAGACAGCAGCUCACUCCCAUCUUCUCCAGGGUAACUAGAGAUGGGGAAUAAAUGCUGGCUGAGCCAGUGAUGCCCAUAUCCUGGAAAUGGUUUCUAUCUCUAGUUGCUGAACCCCAGUUGAUGUUACUGCAGGAUGGUGAGGGACGCUGAGUGCAUCCUCCAGGAGGCAGCACCAUCACAUUACCCCUGCCUACACCCACACAGUAACACCGCCACGUCACUGGAACAAAAGGUAGUGAAGCCAAAGGAGGACUUAGAUAUAGUUCUUCGAGGUAAAGUCAUGAAAGGGGAUUGGAGCACAGCAGGAACAGGAGACUGAGCUGGAUGGUCAGCUGUUUCCCAUUGAAUGGUGGAGCAGGAUUGAAAGGCUGAAUGGUCUCCUCCUGCUGCUAUCUCCCAGGUAUGUAUAUAGCCAUGGAGCCCGGGUAGGAAGGAGUGGGCAGGGCAGGGAUUCUCCAGGAGAUUGCACUUCCACAACAGGUUUCAGUGAGGGAAGGUUUGAUGGAUUUUAUUUAACAUUUAUCUUUAACACAAAGUUUGUAAAUUUUGGUUUUAAAAUGUUGUAAAAGUUUUUUGCAAAGCAAAUAAAAUUAAAGAAAAUAAAUUAAA